AAAAGUGUUAAGUCAUUUUUCGUACAUUUAGUUUCAAUUACUUACACUGGUUUUGACAUAUUGCCUUCCCACCACUAUGGUUAUAAGUGCAAAAGGACUUACUGCGAGGGCGUUGUCGUGUUGGUGUGUUUACCUUUGCUCCUCGACUUAUCCUGGUCUGACAGAUGCUCCGUCCUUGACCGAGUCACCAGCUCCACAUUGGUAGCACUGUAAACCUGGACCAGACGACGCACAAAAAACACUCAAAACACACACUUUGUUUAAGUGAAGCUCCUUGUUAACACAUUUGUUUGGGUUAAAAAUACAUUUCUUUGGCAUAAAACAGCAGUAGGUAAAACUGUGUGGUGUAGCGUAAAAAAGAGUCUCUCCUGGUCUAUGUUUGACAUAGCAAACUGCAUAUUGUGUUUUGUCUGUUAUCUGUUCGCACACUAUGUUCUUGUCUGCAUCUCCCUUGUAAAAAUUUGUGUCCGUUUUCACAAACACAAUAGCAAUCUCUUGUGCUAAAGCUCUCUCUGAUUUCUGACACAUUCUUACUUGUGUUAAUUUUAUUAAAAAAUGCUUUCUAGAACAGUCUCAACAGCAGACUGGCUCAGAAAAAUACUACACUAACUACCAAAUAGUGUGAACUACACGUUUCAGCCAGCUUUGCUACUUCUGAAAACCCAUAUGAACUGGGUUGGCUCUGCGGUCACUCUCACCUUGGCUUCGUACCCACUGACCACCUCACUCUUCUCAGAUCGCCAGCCCCAGAUUCCCGACUUGUUCCUAAACAGGCAAAGAAACAAAAACGUGCUUGUUACCUUUCGAAGGCAAUGUUGCGUGUGUUGAGGUGCGUGGAGACGAUGGGCGACGUGAGUCUCUGAGCUGUGUUCUCCUGCGACGGCUGCAUGGCUGCGAGUAGGGAGGGCGCGUCACGGGGAGACAACACAAGUGGCUCUGUGUACACCACCUGCUUCUCAUGGUCCACCUCCAUCACCACGGCCCCGUCGUCUAAGAAGAGCAGCACCCAGGUGAAAAGGAAAGGCGAAAGACAUAGGAACCUAAACCAGUGGCUAAUGAAACAGGCAAUUGAAAUAAACAAGAUUCAGGUCUUUUCAAAGUCCUCUGAGCUGUGGCUGCUGCCGGAGGAGCUGUCCAACUACUGCGGUGCUGAAACUGACCUCUGUGGUAAAACAAAUAAGUGAGACACACUCACCCCAACUGGUGAACUCCCACUUCAUCUCUACAUAGAAGUCCCGCGCCUGGAAGACACCAUGGAAACUCUUACUCAAACAAAAGCAAAAUAUCCCUGUCAUCUUACAUUUGUGCAUCCUGAUUCAUCAGACUUGGGAACAUGUUGGGAACAUGCAGUCAUGAAAAAGAUGCACUGACACAGCAGCUUUGAACUUUGUUGCUCUCCACUGAAAAGAAAAAAAAACAACCCUUUCCAUAUAUAGUAACUAAAGCUUUGUUGCGUAAGGCAGCAGGUAAAGUCCUGGAGGCUCAAAGUUUUUAAUAAAAUAGCCGACUGUAAAGAAGUUUUACCUGUCUUAGUUUGCUGAGCAGCUCUGGGAUGCCCGCCAGUCUCUCAGUGGCACGCUUGAAGUCUCUGUACUGGAGUACCAGUUGGACCAGCUCAGGGUCCCCGGUGCUUACCGCCUCCUGCAAGACUGAAACGUAACAUCCACAGUUAAUGACAGUGGGUGCUUCUUAUUCCCUUAGCAGCCUCGGGGCAUGAAACUGGGAGCCACAGCAGAGCACUUACUGGUCCAGCCCUGUGCGCUGCAGUGUGUCGGGUCUACAGAGUGCCUGAGCAGCACCCGGGUGGACUCCAGGUGGCCCAGACACACAGCCAGCUCCAGCGGGGUGCGCCCCCUCGGAUCCAGACGGUCUACAUCCUGCUGCACACAAAAACACACGAGCUGCAUCAGCGCAAUGCAGUGCGACCUAACAAACGCAUCUGUAAAAUCCCAAAUGCAAAAUAAACCUCCUUCACUCAC
Long non-coding RNA from Micropterus dolomieu (smallmouth bass), 1979 nucleotides. RefSeq lists it as uncharacterized. Lineage: Eukaryota; Metazoa; Chordata; Actinopteri; Centrarchiformes; Centrarchidae. The transcript is spliced from 3 exons. The record is from RefSeq and is a predicted model, not a curated record.